Molecule: ribosomal RNA, 98 nt
Filed under: Bacteroides fragilis str. 3774 T13
Lineage: Bacteria; Pseudomonadati; Bacteroidota; Bacteroidia; Bacteroidales; Bacteroidaceae
Source: RNAcentral
AGGUGACUAUAGCAUCAGGGUUCCACCUCUUCCCAUUCCGAACAGAGAAGUUAAGCCUGAUCACGCCGAUGGUACUGCGUAAUAGUGGGAGAGUAGGU